UUGACUGUUGCCAAUGAUGGAUUGUUUUAAGCUGAAACAGAAUGAUUUUAUCCUAACAUUUCGUCACUACCACUGAGGCAACGUUUUU
This is a small nucleolar RNA of Hyla sarda, 88 nucleotides long. RefSeq annotates it as small nucleolar RNA SNORD70. The record is from RefSeq and is a predicted model, not a curated record. The transcript has a single exon. Lineage: Eukaryota; Metazoa; Chordata; Amphibia; Anura; Hylidae.